AAAAGGCGUCGUCAUUUCCCAUUUUACUCCAUUUUAUUCCUGCUAAUGUUUUGGUAGGUUUAAGUGUGGUGUUUGCAAAUAGGCUGGUGAAUAACUCAAAUCAUGGGCAGAAAAAAGAAGAAGCAGAUGAAGCCCUGGUGUUGGUACUGCAACAGGGACUUUGAUGAUGAAAAGAUUCUCAUUCAGCACCAGAAGGCCAAACAUUUUAAAUGUCAUAUAUGCCACAAGAAGUUAUACACUGGUCCUGGUUUGGCCAUCCACUGUAUGCAGGUUCACAAAGAAACUAUUGACGGUAUUCCUAAUGCAAUACCUGGAAGAAUUGACAUAGAGUUGGAGAUCUAUGGAAUGGAGGGUAUUCCAGAGAAAGACAUGGAGGAGAGGAGACGUGUUCUUGAACAGAAAACCCACGACAAUCAGAAGAAAAGACAGAACCAAGAUGACUCGGAUGAAGAUGAUGAGGACGAAGAGGCUGGGCCCUCCUUCCAACAGCCAGCAGCAUCCGCACAGCCUCAGGCAGCAUAUACCCCUAUGACCCAGCCAGGAAUGCCCCCUGUCCCAGCACCAGGAAUGCCACAUGGAAGCUACUCAGGAAUGCCCCCAAUGAUGCCUGGUGUUCCCCCAAUGAUGCCAGGGAUGCCCCCUGUAAUGCCAGGGAUGCCUCCAGGCAUGAUGCCAAUGAGUGGAAUGAUGCCACCUACACAUGGAAUGCCCCCAAUGAUGCCAGGCAUGCCACCAGGAAUGCAUCCUCCCAUGGGCCCUCAUCCUGGCUUGCCCCACAUGGCUCAGGCCCCUCCCACCACCAGGCCAGCUUUGCCUGCCGUCACAGUGCCUACACCACAGCCAGGUGUCUCCAAACCACUGUUUCCCAGUGCAGGACAGAUGGGGACUCGAGCUCCAAGCACAAGCUCAGCCUCCUCCAGUCUGGACACUUUGUCAGCAUCCUCUAAACCAUUGUCACAAGUCCAGCAGGCUGGUUCCAGUGCAGCAACAAGCUCCUCUGCCCCUCCUCCUGCUGCCCCCAAACCUACAUUCCCAGCCUACACCCAGUCCUCCACCCCUGCUGCCAACACCAGCAGCACUGUGGCUAAACCAGCCAUCCCAGUCACAAGUAAGCCCGCCACCCUCACCACCACCAGUGCAACCAGUAAGUUGAUCCACCCUGAUGAAGAUAUCUCGCUGGAGGAGUUGAGAGCACAGCUGCCUCGCUACCAGUGUAAAAUCCCCAGUGCGGGACAGGCUCGUGUUACCUCCCCGCCAGCUGCAGCAAUGGGAGGAGUGUUCCCCCCUCAGCAGGGUAUUCCUGCACAGCAGCCGGGCGUGAGGCAUCCCAUGCAAGGCCCAUAUGGUGCUCCACCCCAGGGAGUGUCUGGAUAUGUCCCAGGAGGGAUGCCUCCCUAUGGACAAGCCCCACCUAUGGUACCUCCUUACCAAGCCGCUCCCCCUCGGCCUGCCAUAGGCAUGAGACCCCCUGUAAUGUCCCCUGGAGGCCGAUAUUGAAGCAUCACCACUGGUCUUCAUUAGGUUUUUAGAAGUGAAGUGUAGUAAAUAUGGUUCGUAUUAAUUUGAAGCGGCUGGAGUUUCGUACAGCACCCUUUAUCAAGCAAUGCCAUGGGACUGGCUGAGGCAGAGUCUCAGUGUUGCCCUGCACAGGCUGAGGCAAGUCUCAAAUUUUCUCUUUUUACUUUCUGCACUCGAGGGGGCAUCACAGCUAAUGGCUGUUGGAUACAAAUGUCCCCAAACUUGGUGCAAGUUUGGCGAUGGCCCUCAAUUUUGUUUACUUCAGGGGAGUUCUGUUAACUAACAAUCAUAAAUAGUUUUUGCCAACGUGUUAGAUGUACACCAACAUGUUUGACUUGCAUAUUAAAGGAAUAUUUCGGGGUGUAAUCUGUGGCAUGCUGUCGAUUACCGCAGACAAUAUUUUCAGCUUGUCACUUGGUUUGUAAAAACAAAUUGGAAACUGGUAGGGGAAAAUAUUUACAGUGGGAGCCUAGUAGGCAAGUGGACAAAUGCAAGUAAAUUUUAAAUAUGCAACUUUACACGGUUUCAAAAGUGUAACCAUAACACUUAAAUGUUGCAUAUUAGCAUGACAGUGGUAUGAUAGAAUCACCUGCCAUCCUUGCAUCUGCUAGUGGCAUGGAGUUCAGUUCUGUAAACUGCCUUCACAAGAAUUACUUUGGUUAAAAAAAAAAAAAAAAAAUCCCUCUACCUAGAAAAGAAUGGAAUGUUUGUUUUCAAACAGCUUUCUGAAUAUACCGCCUGUCUGCUGUUGAUUGAACAGAUAGUCCCGCCACACACGCAGUCAAUGUUAUUGUGUCUGUACGGAUGGGUUGCUCAAAACAAACAAGAGGAAUUUUUAUAGCACCACAGUGUUUGUAGUUGUCUGCAUAUUAAGCUGCGAUAAGAGAAAGUAUUUUAACACAAAAAAAUUACACACUUCAGCUUUAAGAGCAUUAACAUGUUUUCCAUUAAUUUAUGCAAACUGAGGUAUGAGGUGAAAUAAUCAGGUGUGGUAAUCGACAACCUUUCACAAAUGCUGUUCUUAAAGGUUAAUAUGAAAAACAAUAAAAUAUGAAAAUAUAUUGUUUAACUUUUCCCUAUUUGACACCUAUAUAUAUUUUAUUUUUUUUUUUUUGAUAAAGCAUACUACAGUUUCAUAAUUAAACUAAUUAGAAGUGGCUGAACUAUAGCUUUCAAGUAAUGCCUGGUUUUACAUUUUCAUUAACAUAUUUACAAGCUCUUUACUGGUUUUGAAGAAACUCAGAUUUUCUUUACAUGAUGUGUUGAGGGGAGAUAAUGGUGUAAAUGACUGGUUUCCAUCUACAGAAAUACUUCAGUGGUUAAUUUGGUUUCAAGCAAAGCAUAGGAAUCAGGUGGUAUUGUGUUCUGAAAUGGCUUUUUUUUAAAAUUUUUUAUUUAUUUUUUUAUAUAAAUAAGUUUAGCUAUUUGUUGCUCUGUCUACCCUGUUUGUGUCUCUUAUCUGUCCAGCUACUGUUCAUUUACCCUUGGUUAUUAAGGAAAAUGUUAUCCAGGACCUCAUUUACAGGUUAGAGUAAGUAUAAUUAUUCAAGGUUUGUAAAUUUUGGUGUUUACCCACUGUUGAUGGGUAGUUUUGGUUAAAAGCAAGAGCCAUUGUUUAUCUACGUGCUGCAUGUCAACUGGUUUCUUCACCUGGUCUCCAGAAGGUUUUUUUGGUAAGUUUACAUCUUGUAGUCCUCAGUCUCUCCAUCCUCAUUCCUCUUGGGAAAACGAUGCAAAUAUAUACUUGUGAUCUGUUUGAGUUUGUAUAGAAACAUAGUUUGUGUAGAAAUUGCCCAUGAUCCAUCUGUUGCUUUACAGGUUGUUGUUGUUUUGUUUGUUUUUACCAGUAGAGCACAGAUAAAUUGACUUGGUGCCACCUUUACCUUUUGUCUUGUUUAAAUGCAAUAAAGGUCUCACAAAACCAACUGUGUAUUCUUUGUAUAUUGGAUCCUGUAUUUGUUUUAUCCUUGGAUUGGUUCUUGAAAGCACCAAGGUAAAAGAAGAAACAACUUGACGCUAAUGGCAAAUGUAUGUUUAUUUACAUUGAUUUAUUUAGCAGACACGUUUAUCUAAAACAACUUACAAGAGUACAGCAUAAGUGAUUCUAUCCUAAGGAGGGAGUAAUGAGAAGUGCUGCAAUACAAAGUUUCAAGUUUGUUCAGAGAAGCACAAGCAGACAGAAAAGUGAGAGACAGUGGUAAAAGAAUAGAUUACAUGGUUUUAUUUAUUUCUAUUCAGAAAAUGUUGAAUUAAUAGGAUUGAGCCAAGUGCUCACAGAUUAGUUGCAUCUUCUGAUAAUUAAGUGGUUUAUUUAUAAAAUCAAAAAGUAGAGUGUACAAAACUUUGUAGUAAUCUUUCCAGUAAUGGGACUUCUAUUCAACUGCAGAAGUCAGAGAGCAAAAGAGAAGUAUGCAGCAUAUGGACCUUAAAUAGAAUAAGAAAAUACUCUGUUUGAAUAACAAUUACUUGGUAUCCAAACAUGGAAACAUUCCAGUUGCUUUCACAUAAAUUCAAACAGGACAAUAAAUAGCUGAACAGAAAAGUACCAAAAGAUCUCACUUUCACUUUUAAUUCUAAAGGGAUUUCCACUCCAUGGUCUACAAUGCUUAACACACAAAACACUACUAUAACUGCUCUGUCUGUCUGUCUGAUUAAUUUCCUGUGCUUAGGUGGAGCACUCUGUUCAGAUGAAAAGAAUAGUCCUAGUACUAGGUGAAGCAGACUGAACAACUGUGUAUUAAAGGAGAGAUGAAUGUUUAAGCACACCAUGAGAGCCUGCUUAUUUCUUUGGAUCUUAUUGGAGCAGAUUUUAGACCUUUCAGCAUCUCAAGAUUUCCAUUACAUUCAAAGGCUUGAGGGUGAAUUGGUGGACAUUCUUUGUAUGGCACAACACAGAAAAUCACAACCAUUGCUGCUAUACCUGAGAAGGUGUGCUCAUUUAGAAAAGGUGUUUUUCUUUGAAGAUAAAAGCGUGAGAGCCGAUCCAGAGAUUGAGGGUCGCAUCAAGAUCUCUGGACAACUGAAUUCACGUGCAGUCAAUGUGACUCUUUUUAAUUUAAGACACACAGACACAGGGCUUUAUGUCUGUGAAUUCUUCACAGACCAUCCAUGUGACCAGCUCUCGGUUAACACAAACCUCCUCCUACUUGUGAAAACAGCAGAUGAGCCAUGUUCCUGUAGCAGUCAUUCUUUGGUCAUCUACAUCAUCUCUGUAGGAGUGUGUUUGCUCCUACUCACAGUCAUCACUGUCUCUGCAGCACAUUAU
Molecule: RNA transcript, 4783 nt
Organism: Myxocyprinus asiaticus (Chinese sucker)
Lineage: Eukaryota; Metazoa; Chordata; Actinopteri; Cypriniformes; Catostomidae
Gene: znf207a
Gene name: zinc finger protein 207, a
Exons: 15
Source: RefSeq, a predicted model, not a curated record